UACAGAGGGUGCGAGCGUUGUUCGGAAUUAUUGGGCGUAAAGCGCUUGUAGGUGGUAUGUUAAGUUGACUGUGAAAGCCCUUGGCUCAACCAAGGAAGUGCAGUCGAUACUGGCAAACUUGAGUGCUGGAGAGGGUCGCGGAAUUCCCGGUGUAGAGGUGAAAUUCGUAGAUAUCGGGAGGAACACCAGUGGCGAAGGCGGCGACCUGGACAGACACUGACACUGAGACGCGAAAGCGUGGGGAGCAAACAGG
Molecule: ribosomal RNA, 253 nt
Filed under: uncultured Anaeromyxobacter sp.
Lineage: Bacteria; Pseudomonadati; Myxococcota; Myxococcia; Myxococcales; Anaeromyxobacteraceae
Description: partial 16S ribosomal RNA
Rfam family: Bacterial small subunit ribosomal RNA
Source: RNAcentral